This is a non-coding RNA of Odocoileus virginianus texanus, 423 nucleotides long. The record is from RefSeq and is a predicted model, not a curated record. Lineage: Eukaryota; Metazoa; Chordata; Mammalia; Artiodactyla; Cervidae.
UUGCCUUGCCAUUGAAAUCCUACCCUUCUUUCAAAGCAUGGUUCGAAAGUCACCUGCUCCAGGAAGCCCUCUUCAGUCCUUGCAGACCAAUAGACCUUGACUCAGUGAAACUAACUCUCCUUCCACACUCACCCUUCUGGAGUGAUAGUCAAAGUAUGCAACCACUUGCCAGGCUGGAGUCCACCUUAACCCUUUGUUUGCUGGGGAGGUCUGCAAACCAUCGCUGGAGGGUCUUGUGGAGGCUCCUGACCCUUAGGUGUAAGAAGAUCUCGGUAGCUCAAAGAGUGGUCCAACUGCACUGCCUUGUCACUACCAGGGUCUUCCUGUUGCCUCAGAUUCAUCAAAGAAACGUUUUGUGGGCAGGAGAUUUUCCCCAGACCCUGUGCCGGGAGCCAGAGCAGAGAGACGUGUCAGGAGGCCCUC